RNAcentral lists this ribosomal RNA (487 nucleotides) under Brevundimonas naejangsanensis. Its description in RNAcentral is "bacterial SSU rRNA". It matches the Rfam family "Bacterial small subunit ribosomal RNA", at positions 405 to 873 of the family's 1533-position model. The record is from RNAcentral. Lineage: Bacteria; Pseudomonadati; Pseudomonadota; Alphaproteobacteria; Caulobacterales; Caulobacteraceae.
AUGCAAUGGUUCUUAGGAUUCGUAAAAUUCUUUCACCGGGGACGAUCAUGACGCGACCCGAUGAAGAGGCCCCGUGUAACUUCCUGCCCGCAAACGCGGUAAUACCUACGGGGCUAGCGUCGCUCGGAAUUACUGGGCGUAAAGGGCGCGCAGGCGGAUCGUUAAGUCAGAGGUGAAAUCCCAGGUCUCAACCCUGAAACUGCCUUUGAUACUGCCGAUCUUGAGUAUGAUAGAGGAAUGUGGAACUCCGAGGGUAAAGAGGAAAUUGGAAUAUCUCCGGAAGAACACCAGUGGCGAAAGAGACGUACUGACUCAUUACUGACGCUGAACUCUCUGAGCGGGGGGAGCAAACAGGAUUAGAUACCCUGGUAAUCCACGCCGAAAACAAUGAUUGCUAGUUGUCGCCGUGCAUGCAGAUCGCUGACGCAGCUAACGCAUUAGGCCCUCCGCCUGGCAGAGAAACGCAUUAAGCACUCCGCCUGGGGAG